UACGUAGGGGGCAAGCGUUGUCCGGAAUUAUUGGGCGUAAAGAGCGUGUAGGCGGUCCGGUAAGUCAGCUGUGAAAGUCAAGGGCUCAACCCUUGAAAGCCGGUUGAUACUGUCGGGCUAGAGUCCGGAAGAGGCGAGUGGAAUUCCCGGUGUAGCGGUGAAAUGCGCAGAUAUCGGGAGGAACACCAAUGGCGAAGGCGGCAUCCUGGACCGGCAUUGACGCUGAGGCGCGAAAGCCAGGGGAGCAAACGGG
RNAcentral lists this ribosomal RNA (253 nucleotides) under uncultured bacterium. RNAcentral describes it as "partial 16S ribosomal RNA". It matches the Rfam family "Bacterial small subunit ribosomal RNA", at positions 524 to 776 of the family's 1533-position model. The record is from RNAcentral.